CUGUGAACUAGCGUUCUGGACUAAGCCAUGCAAGUGUAAGCUCAAGACCUGUUCCAGGUCGAAGCCGCAUACGGCUCCGUACAAGGUAGUUAAUCUACGGCCCGUCAACGAGACGGAUAACUCUGGAAAACUAGAGCCAAUACGUGCAAACUAAUGCUCGACUUCGGUCGGGUGCAGUUAUCGGUCAGGAACGCGUCAGCUUCGGUUGGCGUUCAGGUGACUCUGGGUAACUUCGCGAACCGCAGGCAUUGCCUGUCGGUGUGGGCCACGAGACUACCACCCAUCAAUUUGUUGGUAGGGUAUUGGCUUACCAAGAUCGUCACGGGUACGGGGAAUCAGGGUUCGAUUCCGGAGAGUAGGCCUGAGAAACGGCCGCCAUUGCUACGGCACCCAGCAGGCGCGAAAAUUUGUCAAUGUUCGGACGAAUGAACGAGCAAGAACGUACGACCGGACGAGACACUACGUGUUAUCGUCACGGUGAUGAGGUGAGUCCAAAGAGCUCAUCGAUUACAGCUGGAGGGCAAGCCUGGUGCCAGCAGCCGCGGUAAUUCCAGCUCCGGAAGUUCACGGGAUUAUUGCUGAGACUAAAACGUCCGUAGUCGGAAUCACCGGAUCUGUUAGUGCACCUACGCUUGAUGCGUACGGUUUGCUGACAGAUUCACGACCGCACGUACGCUUCGGCGUGCGUCGGUCCGCGUCCGUGACCUAAACCAAGUGAUCGAAACGAGCUCGUGCUCGAUGGUUUUGCAUGGAAUCGUGGAACGGGACCGGAUCUCUGUUCGUUCCGAGGAGAUCCGGUGACGAUCAACGGGAGCAGUCGGAGGCAGGGAAACUGACGGGCGAGGGGUAAAAUCUGAUGAGCCCGGACGGAUGACCAAAAGCGAAGGCACCUGCCGAGUCUGUUUCCGUCGACAAAGGACCGAAGCCACCCCAGUCAACAGGAUUAGAUACCCCGGUAGCGGUGUGCCCCAAACUAUGCCGACCGGCCGGACGCCGAGCUAACACAUGUUGCGGGUGUUCGGCCCGAGGAAGCUGGAGUGAUUUGGCUUCUGGGAGAUUACGGCUGCAAAGCUGAAACUUAAAGGAAUUGACGGAAGGGCACCAUCAGGUCUGGAUUAUGCGGCUCAAUUGGAUUCGACGCCCGACAUUCCACCAGGACAGGAGCGCCCGAUGAAGCACCGGCCGAAUACCUCUGCCGAUGGGCGUGCGGGUGGUGCAUGGCCGCCGUAGUUCGUGAGGUGACUUGUCUGGUUAAUUCCGACAACGAACGCAACCGCAUAGCUCAACUAUUCNGUUGGCCGUUCAUCGAUCGACGGAAAACUUGAGCCGACUCGUCGACGCAGUGCGUUAAGCACAAGUCGAAGGAAGUUACGGCGAUGGCAGGUCUGUGAUGCCCCUAGACGCCCUGGAUCGCACGCGUCAUACAAUGCCAACCCGAAUGCGCCUGUUUGCCCGAAAGGGUUUACGAAACGCACGAAAAGUUGGCCCAGUCGGGAUCGAGGAUUGAAACUGUUUCUCGUGAACGC
RNAcentral lists this ribosomal RNA (1526 nucleotides) under metagenome. Its description in RNAcentral is "bacterial SSU rRNA". It matches the Rfam family "Eukaryotic small subunit ribosomal RNA", at positions 24 to 1606 of the family's 1831-position model. The record is from RNAcentral.